UACAGAGGGUGCGAGCGUUGAUCGGAUUUACUGGGCGUAAAGGGCGCGUAGGCGGUUAUAUGAGUGUGGUGUGAAAGCCCCGGGCUUAACCUGGGAAGAGCAUCGCAAACGAUAUAACUGGAGUAGAUGAGAGGGUGAUGGAAUUUCCGGUGUAGCGGUGAAAUGCGUAGAUAUCGGAAAGAACGUCGAUGGCGAAGGCAGUCACCUGGCAUCAUACUGACGCUGAGGCGCGAAAGCGUGGGGAGCGAACAGG
Molecule: ribosomal RNA, 253 nt
Filed under: uncultured prokaryote
Description: partial 16S ribosomal RNA
Rfam family: Bacterial small subunit ribosomal RNA
Source: RNAcentral